Molecule: long non-coding RNA, 2324 nt
Organism: Oncorhynchus tshawytscha (Chinook salmon)
Lineage: Eukaryota; Metazoa; Chordata; Actinopteri; Salmoniformes; Salmonidae
Source: Ensembl
GGGGGCUCCACAUGCUCGUAACCCCUUUCUUGUUGGUAAUCGCACUUUACGAGAAGACAAGCCCUCUACAACGAUGGGGAUGUGAGCUUUCAUGUCUUAAUUUGCUCAUAACGAAUGAUUUCCAGUUGUUUGUACGGUAACGUUAUCAGAAUGUUAUCUCGUCAAAAAAUAAAAUAUGCGGGUACAAAUUCAGAUGAAUAGCCAUUAGCAAUACCAUAUCACAUUGAUUUCAUGAUCAACCAGCACAGUGAGAAAUCCAACAGGUGUGGCAGAGAAUAACUACUGAGUGAAGCAUGCCACGAGUAGUUAUGAAUGCAAUCAACUGUCACUGCACAUUCGUCAAAAUCACUCAUCAUCAUAAACGACAACGUUUUUUUAAAUGGACAAGGCGAAAAUGGACAGGCACCAGUAAGAUUCCGUUCUAUUCGUUGACCCUUGAGGAUCACACAGCCAUAGUGAGCCACUUGCUUUUUACACGAAAGGACCCAGCUUUGACAAAAACACCCAAUCAACAGACCCUCUCAAGUUCCCUAAGAUCCCUGUUGGCCCGAGAAGCAGCCCUCCCAGGAGGCCCUCCAUGUAGAGCCCUGUGUGGCCCUGUUCCAGCGUCUUCUCCCUUGCUACGGGCCUUGGGGCCUGGCCAGGUCCCUUCUCUUUCACUUCCCCCAUGGUUUCUCCAGCUCCCCCAUCAGCAGCCCAGACACAGUCUCCGUCCUAUCCCACAAAGCCCUGGAGGACCCCUCCCCUUUCACCCUGGCCUCCACAGCCUCUACCCUACAGGUGACUGGGGCUGGCCAGUGGGGAUGGCCUGUGGGGGCUUGAAGGACCACUGGGAUAAACUGGAGUUGAGGGCCUUCCUGGGGCCCUUCCUCUCCUCCUGGUAGCCUGGAUUCGAGGCCCUACUGACGGGCGUGGUGGCCCGAUGUUGUGUACACAACUGGAGUCCCAGAACCGAGGGCAGGUGUGGGAGGGAGUGUCCUUUGACCUCUGCUGUGCCAGAGUGUGUACGGUACUGGAGAAGGGGUUGUAAGAGAAUUGGUUGUGAGCAAGUUUUGGAGCUUUAUUUUGAUUUAGUUCAUUCAGGAAAGGGAAUUGACAUUCAAUUAAUGAGAGGAAAAUUCAACAUUAACUGAAUUUCACACCUUUCACACCAAUGGAAUGGAGCCCAACCCUGGUUGUGAGCUGGUAUGUAUUGAUGAGGGGAGGGGAUGGCUGCCAUUUUACGGGCUCCUAACCAAUUGUGCUAUUUUGUGUUUUUUCCCCACAUUGUUUGUAACUAAUGUUUAUUUUAUUGUGUUACAAUGUUUUGUUGUUGUUGCUUUAGUUAACUUUGUAAAUAUUUUCUUCACUUUUAAUUUUCUUAAAACUGCAUUGUUAGUUGAGGGCUUGCAAUUAAGCAUUUCAAUGGGAAGUCGACACCUGUUGUAUUCGGCGCAUGUGACAAAUCACAUUUGAUUUGAUUUGAGUACGCAGUGUGGAUGACUCACCUACGUGGCGCCUCAUAGAUACCGUGGUGUAUUCGGACCCCAGGACGCUGCGUAUGUCUGCCGUCUCCUCAUUGAAGUCUUUCUCCCAGAGUUCUGCACAGAGACACAGAGGGGAGCAUGCUUUCAGUGGAAAUGACAGCGCUUUAACUACGUUGUAGGCUGCGAAACAAACAGGCAAUCAUAAUAUCAGUCAAGCAUACACAAUUCCCAGUUCAUGCUAUGAAACCAACUUCAUAAGAGGUUUUAAAAAUAGGUUCUCAGCAUUCAGCAUUCCAUGACGUACAGUGAGGCAUUGUUGUCAGAAUAGAUGGAUGCAGUUCAAUGCAUGAUUAAUAUAAUUCACCAAUACAUUUCCUGGUAGUCUAGAAAAUAUUGCUAUCAGGUUGUAAAUCACAGCUGGCCUGGUACAUUGUUUGCUGCCUCUAUUCGGGAUGCACUGUUUCAGUUUCAAUGACACAAACAAAAACGGACUAAUGUAACUAAGGCUGGGAAUGUCAAUACAAUCAAACUAUCAAGGGCAAUGAUCACAAGUCAGUCAUAACGUGGCUAAUAGGCUAGAAUAUCUAUGUCUGUAUGUAGCAAGCUAAAAACAUUGACUAAAUAUGACCAGUGUUAGUGAACGUUGGCAAAAUAAAGUUAUAGUUUGUCACGAACGCUCUUAGAUAACAUGUAAACAGCCUAACCAGCUCUACUACCAUGAAGAAAGUUGUCAGAGUGAGGUGUUUUCUCAUUUGUGUCUGAAAGUAGCUAGCUAGCAAGCUAGCCAACUUUAGCCAGUUAGCUUGGGUGCUUGGUCGGGACAAGCAUGUAUUGGCAGGCAAGCUGCAGAAGUGCGAG